CACCUUUCAGGGUCGUACCUGGAGAGUUUCCAGUACUCUACCAGUCUCGACUACAGGAGGGAGAGUCAAGCAGAGGCCUACCCAUUCCAUUCCUAGCUUGGGCAGUGUCUAGCGAGUGGAAGGCAAACUGCUACAAGU
Molecule: non-coding RNA, 138 nt
Organism: Ornithorhynchus anatinus (platypus)
Lineage: Eukaryota; Metazoa; Chordata; Mammalia; Monotremata; Ornithorhynchidae
Source: Rfam